CGCGUAGGUGGUCUGUUAAGUCAGAUGUGAAAUGUAAGGGCUCAACCCUUAAUGUGCAUCUGAUACUGGCAGACUUGAGUGCGGAAGAGGCAAGUGGAAUUCCUAGUGUAGCGGUGAAAUGCGUAGAUAUUAGGAGGAACACCAGUGGUGAAGGCGACUUGCUGGGCCGUAACUGACGCUGAGGCGCGAAAGCGUGGGAGCAAACA
This 206-nucleotide ribosomal RNA is filed under the name uncultured bacterium. RNAcentral describes it as "partial 16S ribosomal RNA". It matches the Rfam family "Bacterial small subunit ribosomal RNA", at positions 568 to 774 of the family's 1533-position model. The record is from RNAcentral.